Molecule: unclassified non-coding RNA, 237 nt
Filed under: Glomeraceae sp.
Lineage: Eukaryota; Fungi; Glomeromycota; Glomeromycetes; Glomerales; Glomeraceae
Description: partial contains 5.8S ribosomal RNA and internal transcribed spacer 2
Rfam family: 5.8S ribosomal RNA (bases 1-71)
Source: RNAcentral
GUGAAUCAUCAAAUUUUUGAACGCAAAUUGCGCUUCCUGGUGUCCCGGGAAGUAUGCCUGUUUGAGGGUCAGUAUUAACAAAAAAUCGGUUUGGUUGCAAAUUGUGACGUUUCCGGAGUUUGGGCUAUCAUAACUUUUUUGGUUAAGGGGCGUAAAAUUUACCUUAUUUGCGCAUUUUUAGACGUACAUAAAUUUUUUUUUUAAUUCGUCUAUUUUUAAUCCCAAAAUCGUAUUAGA